UCUAAUAUGGCAGAUUAGUGCAAUAGAUUUAAGCUCUAUAAAUAAAGAUCAAACUUUUAUUAGAA
Molecule: transfer RNA, 65 nt
Filed under: Acrida willemsei
Lineage: Eukaryota; Metazoa; Arthropoda; Insecta; Orthoptera; Acrididae
Also listed under: 2 other names
Description: tRNA-Leu
Rfam family: tRNA
About the family: Transfer RNA (tRNA) molecules are approximately 80 nucleotides in length. Their secondary structure includes four short double-helical elements and three loops (D, anti-codon, and T loops).
Source: RNAcentral